AACGAACGCUGGCGGCAUGCCUAACACAUGCAAGUCGAACGAGACCUUCGGGUCUAGUGGCGCACGGGUGCGUAACGCGUGGGAACCUGCCCUUAGGUUCGGAAUAACUCCCCGAAAGGGGUGCUAAUACCGGAUAAUGUCUUCGGACCAAAGAUUUAUCGCCUUUGGAUGGGCCCGCGUUGGAUUAGCUAGUUGGUAGGGUAAAAGCCUACCAAGGCGACGAUCCAUAGCUGGUCUGAGAGGAUGAUCAGCCACACUGGGACUGAGACACGGCCCAGACUCCUACGGAAGGCAGCAGUGGGGAAUAUUGGACAAUGGGCGAAAGCCUGAUCCAGCAAUGCCGCGUGAGUGAUGAAGGCCUUAGGGUUGUAAAGCUCUUUUACCCGGGAUGAUAAUGACAGUACCGGGAGAAUAAGCGCCGGCUAACUCCG
This 431-nucleotide ribosomal RNA is filed under the name uncultured bacterium. RNAcentral describes it as "partial 16S ribosomal RNA". It matches the Rfam family "Bacterial small subunit ribosomal RNA", at positions 29 to 505 of the family's 1533-position model. The record is from RNAcentral.